UGGGAAAUAUUGCACAAUGGGCGCAAGCCUGAUGCAGCCAUGCCGCGUGUGUGAAGAAGGCCUUCGGGUUGUAAAGCACUUUCAGCGAGGAGGAAGGGUAGUGUGUUAAUAGCACAUUGCAUUGACGUUACUCGCAGAAGAAGCACCGGCUAACUCCGUGCCAGCAGCCGCGGUAAUACGGAGGGUGCAAGCGUUAAUCGGAAUUACUGGGCGUAAAGCGCACGCAGGCGGUCUGUUAAGUCAGAUGUGAAAUCCCCGCGCUUAACGUGGGAACUGCAUUUGAAACUGGCAAGCUAGAGUCUUGUAGAGGGGGGUAGAAUUCCAGGUGUAGCGGUGAAAUGCGUAGAGAUCUGGAGGAAUACCGGUGGCGAAGGCGGCCCCCUGGACAAAGACUGACGCUCAGGUGCGAAAGCGUGGGGAGCAAACA
This 427-nucleotide ribosomal RNA is filed under the name uncultured bacterium. Its description in RNAcentral is "partial 16S ribosomal RNA". It matches the Rfam family "Bacterial small subunit ribosomal RNA", at positions 355 to 774 of the family's 1533-position model. The record is from RNAcentral.